This 253-nucleotide ribosomal RNA is filed under the name uncultured bacterium. Its description in RNAcentral is "partial 16S ribosomal RNA". It matches the Rfam family "Bacterial small subunit ribosomal RNA", at positions 524 to 776 of the family's 1533-position model. The record is from RNAcentral.
UACGUAGGGCGCGAGCGUUGUCCGGAAUCAUUGGGCGUAAAGAGCUCGUAGGCGGCCUGUCGCGUCUGCUGUGAAAUCCCGGGGCUUAACCCCGGGCGUGCAGUGGAUACGGGCUGGCUGGAGGCAGGCAGGGGAGAACGGAAUUCCCGGUGUAGCGGUGAAAUGCGCAGAUAUCGGAAGGAACACCAGUGGCGAAAGCGGCUUCCUGGUCCAGCACCGACGUUCAGGCACGAAAGCGUGGGGAGCAAACAGG